GUAGCUAUAUUUAAGACUUUGCUGUUAUAACAUUGUAGGCUGUUAAUUCUCCAAUGCCCACUAUAAAAUAACAAAGUGGCGAUUUUGUUGCUUUCUUACAGAGUCAGCAGAGAGCGUACAACUGAGGAGCUUUCAUAAAUCAUAAAUCACAGGAUUUACAAUUGGGUGAAAUACAAGAGGAGAUAAACAACAAAGUGAGGUUUUUGAGAUAUUGGGAAUGUUGCUGACCUGUAAUACUGUUUCCCAUUGUCGAGAAGGUCCUGCUGUGGUUCCCAGUCACAAAAGCUGUGAAGGACGGAAGGGGAGCUCGCUUUGAGAAGUGAAGACCUGACUAACGACCCAGACUCAUUACCACAGUCCCUAUUUGUGGAGGUCAAUUGUUUGUGACAGAGCUUGAGUGUGGGCUAGAAACUUCUCUAAUCUGACAUCCUGUCAUGGUGGGUUUGUGAGUGCAGACUAAAGGACAUGAGACUUUGGGAGCCCAAGCACGAAUUAUCACUGCAGCCUCUUCAAGAACCUGACUCAGCAAGGAUGACUUAGCAACCAAAAGCAAGGACGCAUUUUCGAUAGUGACACCAGGUGGUAGCAACAAAAGUAAUGAAAAUUAUAAAUAAAGGCUCACAGUGCCCUGAUCAAACUCUCUAAUUUUGUCUUGUGAACUACAAACAGUCUCCAUGAACUGAAUAAAAGCCUCUCUUCCCAAGAUUCCUGUUGCAGAAAGAGCUUAGAUAACUCAGAAAUGGGGUAAUUCAAUUGUUAAAAGUGUGACCAUAUUGGUACUCCAAGCUGGUUAAGCAGGUUUUCCAGGUUACACUUAGUUGUCUCCCCAGUGACCCCGUGAAUGUCUGCAAUGUGGGGAAUAAUCUUUAUAUCUCUCUGGUGAUGAGAACGGUGAUUUGAACAUCGUAAAUAUUUGAAUUGAAUUGUUUCUAGCCCAUGUUUAUUUUAAUGUUUAUAACUACCGUCAUAAAACAUGUAACAUUUAAACGUUUUUUAUAAAAACGUAUUUUCCAUUUGCAAACAUGCCUGUAGCAGGUA
Molecule: long non-coding RNA, 1038 nt
Filed under: Macaca mulatta (Rhesus monkey)
Lineage: Eukaryota; Metazoa; Chordata; Mammalia; Primates; Cercopithecidae
Description: lncRNA (ENSMMUG00000058973.1)
Source: RNAcentral